CAGUCGCCACGGUAAUACAGAGGUCUCAAGCGUUGUUCGGAUUCAUUGGGCGUAAAGGGUGCGUAGGUGGCUUGGUAAGUUGAAGGUGAAAUCUCGGGGCUUAACUCCGAAACUGCCUUCAAUACUGCUGAGCUCGAGGAUUGUAGAGGAGAAUGGAAUUCACGGUGUAGCAGUGGAAUGCGUAGAUAUCGUGAGGAAGACCAGUGGCGAAGGCGAUUCUCUGGGCAAUUCCUGACACUGAGGCACGAAGGCCAGGGGAGCAAACGGGAUUAGAGACCCCGGUAGUCCCUGUCUCUUAUAC
Molecule: ribosomal RNA, 301 nt
Filed under: uncultured bacterium
Lineage: Bacteria
Description: partial 16S ribosomal RNA
Rfam family: Bacterial small subunit ribosomal RNA
Source: RNAcentral